AACGAACGCUGGCGGCAGGCUUAACACAUGCAAGUCGAACGGGUGUAGCAAUACAUCAGUGGCAGACGGGUGAGUAACACGUGGGAACCUUCCUAGAGGUACGGAACAACGCAGGGAAACUUGCGCUAAUACCGUAUACGCUCUUGCGAGGAAAGAUUUAUCGCCUUUAGACGGGCCCGCGUCGGAUUAGCUAGUUGGUAAGGUAACGGCUUACCAAGGCGACGAUCCGUAGCUGAUCUGAGAGGAUGAUCAGCCACACUGGGACUGAGACACGGCCCAGACUCCUACGGGAGGCAGCAGUGGGGAAUCUUGGACAAUGGGCGCAAGCCUGAUCCAGCCAUGCCGCGUGAGUGAAGAAGGCCUUCGGGUUGUAAAGCUCUUUUGUCAGGGACGAUAAUGACGGUACCUGAAGAAUAAGCCCGGCAAACUUCGUGCCAGCAGCCGCGGUAAAAGUCAACGUCGA
This 463-nucleotide ribosomal RNA is filed under the name uncultured bacterium. Its description in RNAcentral is "bacterial SSU rRNA". It matches the Rfam family "Bacterial small subunit ribosomal RNA", at positions 29 to 537 of the family's 1533-position model. The record is from RNAcentral.